UCUCGGCUUAUCACCGGCAGUCCCCCUAGAGUGCCCAACUGAAUGAUGGCAACUAAGGGCAAGGGUUGCGCUCGUUGCGGAACUUAACCCAACAUCUCACGACACGAGCUGACGACAGCCAUGCAGCACCUGUGUGCAGGUCCCCGAAGGGCUGCCGUAUUUCUACGACAUUCCCGUGCAUGUCAAGCCCUGGUAAGGUUCUUCGCGUCGCGUCGAAUUAAACCACAUGCUCCGCUGCUUGUGCGGGCCCCCGUCAAUUCCUUUGAGUUUCAACCUUGCGGUCGUACUCCCCAGGCGGGGUACUUCCUGCGUUAGCGCCGGCACCCAGAGGGUCGCUCCCCCAGGCACCUAGUACCCAUCGUUUACGGCGUGGACUAC
RNAcentral lists this unclassified non-coding RNA (378 nucleotides) under uncultured bacterium. Its description in RNAcentral is "contains 16S-23S intergenic spacer region". The record is from RNAcentral.